GGGAAUAGGCCUCCAAGCAUGUAAUUUAUGGGUAUGGUCUUUUUGGAAAUGCCAGGGGCCACCAACAUUAACUGGGCAUUGUGCUGUCAGCAUGUCACCAGCGCCAUCAUCUAGCAUCGCCAGAGAUUUGUCACUGUUUUUCUCUCCUACCACCACCUCAGUGUUUGUACAGCAGGCAACAGUGGGAUAUGUGGGGGUGGCUGUUAGCCAUAGGACGAGGGACAGAAGUGGGGGUGCUAUGGUAGACACAGAAAAUAGCACCCAGAAGAGUUAGCUUACGCCCUGCAUCAACCAAGAGUGUGGGGGCCCUGUCUCCUGAAGGACUGAUGCGAUGCAGUCUUUGGUCACAGCUGCUGAGACAGGGAGUGGGUGCAUCCAUGUGGCUGCAUGAAGAUGCCAAAUUGCUUCCUGGUACAUGGGCCAGGAUUGCAUGAGUAGAAACAGUCCUGUCAGUUAUGACUCUCCAGCUUGACCAGAGGGUGAAGUCUCAAUGGCUCCUCAAUGGCUCCUCAAGGCCACCUGGGUUCUUGGUCCCUUGGGUAAGGAAGGCUAUUAUAGGAAGGUAAAGGCUGAGGUAUCAGGGCUUCUUGGUAGUUGAAGAUAAGGGUGUGCAGUAUAACCAGUCUACUCUUGCUUGGAUCUCAGUGACUAAGCUAAAGGCAAGGACUUCGUUUUGCUUGUAUUGGAUAGCACCCAUGGGUGCUGAGUUAAAAGUUAACCAAGCUUGCAAAUAAGGGUUAUCUGUUGGUCUCUGGCAUGGACAUCGGGGCAAAGGCUUUCUGCACUGCUGCCCUCAGUCUCCACACUCAUUCUAUACGGGCUCGGAAGGAGUUGAUACCCUGUCACUGGUCCUGUUCAGUGUAUAGAGAAGUAGGAGGACAGGAUUUAAGUAACGCAGGGCAUCGUUGCUCCAGGUGGAUCUUUGCUGUGGGUGUGGCAAGCAGCGCCGUAGUGUAGACAGAGCCGGAGAUUAGGAACCAGACCUUCUGGAAUCAACUGUGGGCUUCUCACCUCGCAGUGUAACACCCGAGGGGGCAGUUCAUUGCUUGAGCUUCACUUUCCUACCCUCUACCAUCACCGGAGUGCUCUGCCCUUGCUGUGUCACGAGGACCGAAGGAGACAGUACAGUCCUACAGUUGUUGGGUAGCUAAGACUCUUGGGGUGACCCAGCCUCCAAGGAGCCGAGGUCUUGAGAAUCAACUGCCUUCAGUUCAUGAAACCAUGUCAGCCUCCGAGCUGGGAACAAGAGAAAGAAUCUAGUGUGGAUCCCACAUCAGCUGGAUAAGGAAACCAAAGUCCGGAAGGCUCCACCCUGCAGCCCCGUGGCCACUUAUCCAUCCUUAGAAACAUAUAUGCAUGCACAUAUCCAGUUGUGAUGUAUUUACCGGGUAUACACACUCCAGUUUCAGGAGACCCAGCUUCCUCUUCUGGCAUCUGAAGGUACCAGACACACACGUGAUAACAUCCUGCAUCUGCUGGGAAGUGAUGCCUGCUGCCAUUCAUGAUUCACCUGCCAGAGGAUUGCCACCCCUAACUGCAAGCAGGCAAGGAGCAGCAGACUCCUCUGGGCCUUUGGGAAAUGAGUUAUGGAAAUACUGCGAGCCCUCAUGAUUGCUCAUUACACCAAGAAAGCUACAGCCCUUACAUUAAAGCUCCGAGGCCAAGCAGGUCCUGCCCAGCCACGUGGCUUGUAAAUAGGGAGAUGUGAGAUUUCAACUGGAAAGUCUGAUUGCAAAGCCUUUGCUAUUUCCUGUCACCCAGGAUCCCUUGCCUCACACAUGACUACUGUAUUUCAUGACAGGGAACUGCAGUCAGAGGACGGGCGACAAAUGCGCUGCAGCCUGUGAGGGGCUGGACGCCACAGCUUGUGAGAGAAAGCCCUGCUGGGGCUCAUCUCUAGAUCUUGAAGAGGCCAGAUUUGGAUAUUGAGAGAUGUUUAUUCUUUCGGUCGUUCCCCCAUCGGUUGCCUGGAUGCAGGCCUCUCACAAGGAGCCAGUUUCUACACUGGUCCUGAGCCAAUCCUGGGAAGGGGCCAUCCCUGUGUGGGCUACAGUUUCCUUCUGGAUGCUUCCUUUAAUGUGACAGGAGAUUGCUGUCUGAGUUGGUGUCAGAUGCCUGGAUUCAAGCCUCUGCUUUUGAAAUAGUGGGAUUCUAGCCACCCACCACUCACCAGGCUCCUGCACCAUUUUAUGACAGACAGAAGUGAAUCGUUCUUCUCUUGACCCGCACUUUUGCUGAACUGUAAGCCCCAUGAGGACAACCUCUCAUUCCCAGCUGAAUCCUGACAGCACACAGUGACGGGUAAAAGUGAGCGACCCAGUGAGCCACAGAUAGACACAUGGAUGCACACAUGUCAACACGCUUCUGCUCUGUUUUCUUUGAAAGUUCAAUUGUUCUGUGUGCCUUGGGGAUGUGAGGAGCAAGAACUGAGAGGGCUGCCAACAGGAAAGCGUGAUGUCUGUGGAAAGGACAACUGAGAGCGAAAGACACCCUUUGGGAAGAUAGGAGGUUGGCCCUUCCUGGCGACCUGCCCACAAAAGCUUCUUUGGGAGAGAAUGAAGCUCUUGCAAGCAGGUGACAUGGGGAUCCCAGAGCUGGGAUAGAGACAGUGCAGGAAUGAGAGUGGAAAGUACCGUCUUUCCAGAAACAACAACAACAAAAAGCCCUUUAGGGUUACUCGAUAUCAUGUCUUCCUGCCCUGGACCACUGCUAAGCAUCCCUCUUUUUAUUGUGGACAAACAUCAACAACACAGACCUGCAUCUGCUCCUGAUGGGGAAGGAGGCAAGUGGGUGUGGAGCAAUGGACAGGGCAGGCUUAUGGCCGGAGUACGCCCAUUAACCAAGGAAUUGUUAUUUGCUUUUCUAAUACCUAUCACAUCUCACACUCUGAAGUCACAAAGCAUGGAGACAAAAGUCAAACGUAUUAUGAAAUGUGCCUUUCUCCCGUCACUCCCCCCUCUCCCUACAUUCAUCUCGUUGCCCUUACUGAUGUUCUCAGCUUUUCAGGAUGGCUUGGAAUGGAACGUUUAAGCAUAUUCAACUGGAGGAAUCCAGCACAGAGUCCCACAAACACUGCUUGUACCCUGCUGUGUUCACUUAAUGAUAUUUUCUAUGAGAGUCUGUGACAGUGUCUUUGGUUGGGUUCUGUUUGUUGGUUUCACAGUGUCUCCCCAUGUGCUGGGAGCAAGGCCCUAAUAUCUGAGGAGUCAGGCUUCAGACUUUCAGGGAGCCUUUUCUUGUUGUAGUAGCAGAGAGUAUUGAGGUAUGAUGGAACGUGAAGGAACAUCAGGCCUGUACCGCCGAGCAUCGUUACCGCUAACCACACAGCAAUUGCCACAUGAAAUGUGCCUGGUCCAGUCAAGACUGGCUUACAAAGGUAAAAUGCAAACUAGACUUUGAAGGUUUAAUUUUAAAAGGUAAACCGUCUUAUUCAAUACUUUUAAAAAACAUUUAUUGCAAGUCAAAUUGUAUUUUAAAUAUA
This is a long non-coding RNA of Psammomys obesus (fat sand rat), 3481 nucleotides long. RefSeq lists it as uncharacterized. NCBI's taxonomy places the organism in Eukaryota, Metazoa, Chordata, Mammalia, Rodentia, Muridae. The transcript has 4 exons. The record is from RefSeq and is a predicted model, not a curated record.